UUUCCGUAGGUGAACCUGCGGAAGGAUCAUUACCGAGUGAGGGCCCUCUGGGUCCCACCCCCCACCCGUGUUUAUCGUACCUUGUUGCUUCGGCGGGCCCGCCUCACGGCCGCCGGGGGGCACCCGCCCCCGGGCCCGCGCCCGCCGAAAACACCAUUGAACGCUGUCUGAAGAUUGCAGUCUGAGCAUCUUAGCUAAAUCAGUUAAAACUUUCAACAACGGAUCUCUUGGUUCCG
Molecule: unclassified non-coding RNA, 236 nt
Filed under: plant metagenome
Description: partial contains small subunit ribosomal RNA, internal transcribed spacer 1, and 5.8S ribosomal RNA
Source: RNAcentral